This 638-nucleotide long non-coding RNA is filed under the name Lathyrus oleraceus (garden pea). RNAcentral's name for it is "Pisum sativum (pea) long non-coding RNA (PSAT_LNC000232)". Lineage: Eukaryota; Viridiplantae; Streptophyta; Magnoliopsida; Fabales; Fabaceae. The record is from RNAcentral.
UUCAUACACGGUUUCGGCCAGUGCACACUUUAAAAUUGCAGCUUUCUAUCCUUUCCUAUUACACUUCUCAAUCAACCACUUGAGUUUGGAGGAAAAUUUUGGCUAGCAAUGAUGCUAGACCCCGCGCCAGUUUUAUUUUAUGGUUGACUUGUCAAGAUCUCCUUGCUACAAAAGAUAGAUCGAAGAGAUUUUAGAUUCUAGAGAAUGAUGAUUGUUGCUUCUGCAAGAGCCAAGACGCACAAAAACCCUAAGAAAUCAAACCCUAAAACUCCACUAUAAGCCUUACUAGUGUUGAAUUUGAAGGGGAGACUUGUGAAAAGAAGUUUAGAGCACUCAAAAAUCAGCAACAAAAAAUCGGAAAAGAAACCAAACACAACAACAACCACCACACCAUUAUCACUAUUCAUCAUCCUAUUACAACAACAAUAACAAUCACCAUAACCACCACCUUUUCAUAUCAACCAUCACCGUCACCUUCACCUUCAUUAGCAACAACUCCCAUUAUAAACUUUGUAAGUUUGGUGUUUGUAAGUAUUUAUUCUACUAUUAUUUAAGAUGUAAAAUAAUAUGUAUGCUUAGAAUGAUGCAAAACUCAUGUAAAUAUUAUUGUUUUUUUUUUAUAAAUAGUUUAUGCUUUG